GGAAUUAUUAGGGCGUAAAGCGUCCGCAGGCGGUCUGUCAAGUCUGCUGUUAAAGCGUGGAGCUUAACUCCAUUUCGGCAGUGGAAACUGACAGACUAGAGUGUGGUAGGGGCAGAGGGAAUUCCCGGUGUAGCGGUGAAAUGCGUAGAUAUCGGGAAGAACACCAGUGGCGAAGGCGCUCUGCUGGGCCAUAACUGACGCUCAUGGACGAAAGCCAGGGGAGCGAAAGGGAUUAGAUACCCCUGUAGUCCUGGCCGUAAACGAUGAACACUAGGUGUCGGGGGAAUCGACCCCCUCGGUGUCGUAGCCAACGCGUUAAGUGUUCCGCCUGGGGAGUACGCACGCAAGUGUGAAACUCAAAGGAAUUGACGGGGGCCCGCACAAGCGGUGGAGUAUGUGGUUUAAUUCGAUGCAACGCGAAGAACCUUACCAGGGUUUGACAUCCUGCGAAUCUCUUGGAAACGAGAGAGUGCCUUCGGGAACACAGUGACAGGUGGUGCAUGGCUGUCGUCAGCUCGUGUCGUGAGAUGUUGGGUUAAGUCCCGCAACGAGCGCAACCCACGUCGUUAGUUGCCAGCAUUUAGUUGGGCACUCUAGCGAGACCGCCGGUGAUAAACCGGAGGAAGGUGUGGAUGACGUCAAGUCAUCAUGCCCCUUACAUCCUGGGCUACACACGUACUACAAUGCUACGGACAAAGGGCAGCAAACUCGCGAGAGCUAGCAAAUCCCAUAAACCGUGGCUCAGUUCAGAUCGUAGGCUGCAACUCGCCUACGUGAAGGAGGAAUCGCUAGUAAUCGCAGGUCAGCAUACUGCGGUGAAUACGUUCCCGGGCCU
This 835-nucleotide ribosomal RNA is filed under the name uncultured bacterium. RNAcentral describes it as "SSU rRNA". It matches the Rfam family "Bacterial small subunit ribosomal RNA", at positions 547 to 1381 of the family's 1533-position model. The record is from RNAcentral.